GCUAAACGCGAAGAACCUUACCUACCUUUGAAUCCACGGAAUCUUGCAGAAAUGUGAGAGUGCCUUCGGGAACCGUGAGACAGGUGCUGCAUGGCUGUCGUCAGCUCGUGUCGUGAGAUGUUGGGUUAAGUCCCGUAACGAGCGCAACCCUUGUCCUUAGUUACCAGCGAGUUAUGGUCGGGGACUUUAAGGAGACUGCCGGUGAUAAACCGGAGGAAGGGUGGGGAUGACGUCAAGUCCUCAUCGGCCCUUACAGGGUAGGGCCACACACGUGCUACAAUGGCCGGUAACGAAAGGGUUGCCAACCCGCGAGGGGGAGCUAAUCUCAAAAAGCCGGUCGUAGUCCGGAUUGGAGUCUGCAACUCGACUCCAUGAAGCUGGAAUCGCUAGUAAUCGCGGAUCAGAACGCCACGGUGAAUACGUUCCCGGGUCUUGUACACACCG
RNAcentral lists this ribosomal RNA (444 nucleotides) under uncultured bacterium. RNAcentral describes it as "bacterial SSU rRNA". It matches the Rfam family "Bacterial small subunit ribosomal RNA", at positions 954 to 1392 of the family's 1533-position model. The record is from RNAcentral.